This 253-nucleotide ribosomal RNA is filed under the name uncultured bacterium. RNAcentral describes it as "partial 16S ribosomal RNA". It matches the Rfam family "Bacterial small subunit ribosomal RNA", at positions 524 to 776 of the family's 1533-position model. The record is from RNAcentral.
UACGUAGGGUGCAAGCGUUAAUCGGAAUUACUGGGCGUAAAGCGUGCGCAGGCGGUUUCGUAAGUCUGUCGUGAAAUCCCCGGGCUUAACCUGGGAAUGGCGAUGGAGACUGCGAGGCUAGAGUUUGGCAGAGGGGGGUAGAAUUCCACGUGCAGCAGUGAAAUGCGUAGAGAUGUGGAGGAACACCGAUGGCGAAGGCAGCCCCCUGGGUCAAAACUGACGCUCAUGCACGAAAGCGUGGGGAGCAAACAGG